UUUUGGUAUGGUUUUUAAUCCAUUUUCUCUAUCUCAUAAAUUCUUUUAUUUUAUUUAACAUAACUUGUUAAUUAUACAAUUUACUCCUAAAAUAAAUACAUGGAAUACAACAUGAAAUAAAACGUACACUUAAAUCACAUCCACUUAACUCCAUCUAAAUUUGUUUCUCUUGCAAUUAUCCUUAUAAAAGAUGAUUUUACAAUGUAAUUUCAGGUGUUAUUUGAAAUAAAAAAUAAUAAAAAAAUCUCAACAUUAAAAAAAAGUUCUCAACAUUAGUUAUUUAAUAUUAAUCAAGGACAAGCCUAUC
This 307-nucleotide long non-coding RNA is filed under the name Capsella rubella. RNAcentral describes it as "long non-coding RNA (CRUB_LNC003908)". Lineage: Eukaryota; Viridiplantae; Streptophyta; Magnoliopsida; Brassicales; Brassicaceae. The record is from RNAcentral.